AGUGAACGCUGGCGGUAGGCCUAACACAUGCAAGUCGAACGGCAGCACAGUAAGAGCUUGCUCUUACGGGUGGCGAGUGGCGGACGGGUGAGGAAUACAUCGGAAUCUACUUUUUCGUGGGGGAUAACGUAGGGAAACUUACGCUAAUACCGCAUACGACCUACGGGUGAAAGCAGGGGAUCUUCGGACCUUGCGCGAUUGAAUGAGCCGAUGUCGGAUUAGCUAGUUGGCGGGGUAAAGGCCCACCAAGGCGACGAUCCGUAGCUGGUCUGAGAGGAUGAUCAGCCAAACUGGAACUGAGACAAGGUCCAGACUCCUAAGGGAGGCAGCAGUGGGGAAUAUUGGACAAUGGGCGCAAGCCUGAUCCAGCCAUAACGCGUGGGUGAAGAAGGCCUUCGGGUUGUAAAGCCCUUUUGUUGGGAAAGAAAAGCAGCAGGUUAAUAACCCGCUGUUCUGACGGUACCCAAAGAAUAAGCACCGGCUAACUUCGUG
This 492-nucleotide ribosomal RNA is filed under the name uncultured bacterium. Its description in RNAcentral is "partial 16S ribosomal RNA". It matches the Rfam family "Bacterial small subunit ribosomal RNA", at positions 29 to 507 of the family's 1533-position model. The record is from RNAcentral.